CCUGCUUUUCCAGAGGGAACAUGCUGAGACACAGGCGAAUGCCCUCCACAGGGACUGCCGGGUCUUGUUCCCAAGGCACAUCGAGCUGUAUGGUAUUUCUCCUCCGUGGGCGGUCUUUGUCCUGUAGAAAAUGAAAUCCCAACCACCAAGAAAACAUGGAAGUUAUAGCGGGUGAAGUCAUAAGACUUCUGUUUAUGGUUUUUAUUUCUUAGGCACCUACCAUGGACCACAGGCCACCAACAUAUUUUGUCUAUGUAUUUCAUUUCCUCUUUACAACAAACUCACCAGGCAGGUGUUAUCUCCGCCUAAUACACGUGGCUACUGACGCCCGCAAAGUCACAUGACUUACGAUGGAAGUUGGCAUUUGAACCAACUCGGACUCCCUCUAAAAUACGUGACUCCACAGUGUCUCCUAACGAGCAAGAGGCUUUGUCCCCCAGCUCUCUUUCCACUUCAUAGCAGCCUCUCUCCCUCCAUUCCAGAAAGAAGCUGGGAAACAGUGGAGCUGGCAGGCACCUCUGGUUCUCACACAGCCAACGUGUGUGACACGGCCAGGCUGCUGGGCAUACGCUUGGGCCAAGGGACAGAAGUACAUGAGCUCCUAGGAAAAGGAAACCACCUACUAGCUGAAACCUAUGAGAAGUCUGGGAGAAACUGUUUGACAAGACUGACUAGGAUUGAAAAUCAUGGUUGGCAGAGGAAAUCAGAGGCAAGCGAAGAACAGAAAAAGUAGGUAUCUGCCACAAUGAAGACAGCCACAGCGAUGUGACAGAGGGAGAAGAGUAGCUACCGCUGCCGCACCAAGAACACACAGGCACGCCCUUCAGAUGCGCGCUCCUGCUUGGUCCACCGGAACAACUCUGCAAGGGGGCUGCUGCGUAUGGUCUUUAAGAACAGGAUGAUGACGUUAAAAAUUCUUUGUUUACAUAUUUAUUUCAAUCCUGGGCCUCACUUAUGCCAGGCAAGAGCUCUACCACUGAACUCCAGGCCCGCCCCUAAGAUUUUUUUUUUUUAACACAUUGGGAAUUCCUAACACGUAAGAAAAAUAAAAUUGGGGUUGAUUUCAUGAGAGGACUCAUCAUCCCAGGUGAUUACUGUCGCUCUAAAUGUAGUUUUACUGACAUUUAAGGACAAGUAAAUGAUACCUGGUAGAUUAGAAAACACGGAACCCUUUUUUUGAACUCCAGGCCCGCCCCUAAGAUUUUUUUUUUUUAACACAUUGGGAAUUCCUAACACGUAAGAAAAAUAAAAUUGGGGUUGAUUUCAUGAGAGGACUCAUCAUCCCAGGUGAUUACUGUCGCUCUAAAUGUAGUUUUACUGACAUUUAAGGACAAGUAAAUGAUACCUGGUAGAUUAGAAAACACGGAACCCUUUUUUUAGAGAAAUGGACAGCUCACUUGCAAGUCCCUGUCUCUCUGGCAGACUCUGUGCCCCUGAGAGGUCAGCAUGGCUAAUGGCUCCAAUGCACUGGUAGAUUAAGCAUAGGCUGUGCCCCUUUGUGCAGCAAGACUGCCAAAAACACACUGCUAAAGAUGGGAGGGACCACUACUUGGCCCUUUUUAAGUUUCCUCUCAAGUGCUGGGGUGUUCUGAGCAAGAAUGUUAGUUAUGUGAACACGUCUAUAAAACAAUUAUCGGAGAAACACAAAGACCAAAUGUUGAAAUUCCAAAGUUUUCACUUACUGGCACUUAUUUCUACAUGUGCUUCCCAGGAGAGACAGAUGUGGCUGCUGCCACUGGUAGUGAUUGAAACACACAUUUUUAGAUGUUGGAUGUCCUAGAACCCUUUUAGCCAGCAUGAUGCCUGUUAGAUGCCACUUUGCCAAUUCCUGGCUGACUUUUCCUCAUCUGCUCAGUGCAACCAUCUGUCAAGAAGGGUCAAGUGGGCAUUGCUUUUGGUAACUCCUCCAAGCUUGGACAACAGCUCCAGGGAGAGAGCUACAUGUGGGGAUGCAAACAGGGUUAUUUUCUGGCAGCUCACUCUCUGGAUAUGUUCAGGCCUCCCGGCAGGGCCUUGAGUUUCUGGCUGCUUGUCAAUCCCAUUGAGCAGCAGUGCUGGUGAGACACAUUUUUUCUGUCUGAAAGACAGAAAGGACAAAUACUAAAGUUCCCCAAAAAUAAUUAAGCCUUUGGACCCCUUUCCACAAGCACAAAUCUGUGUGAGGUUUUCUGGAGCAAGCUCUGUAGACUACAUUCCAAAGGCCAAGAGGCAAGAGCACACUGGUCAGUCAGCCAUGUUCUCUCCAUAAAUAGCGCCAUGCAUCUCUAAAGCAAUGAGACAGUGUUGAGCAAUCCUAUGUAUGGUACUAGCCGGAUGGCAGCACUAAUGGUCAUGGACAUAAUAGAGACAACAAUGACAGAGAUGGAUAGAGGGAAAAGUUAGUCAACUAUACUGUUGGGCAAAUCACGCACUGACUCUGGUAACUGUAAGUUUUCUCAUCUGUAAGUUUCCACUCUGGUUUAGAGGGACUUUGCCUGCGCUUUGGCAUAUGAGAUGUAUUGGUCAGCUUUUCAUUGCUGGGACAAAAUACUUGACACCUACAGCUUAAAGGAGGAGAGGUUUAAUUUGGAUCAAGGCUCCAGAGGUUUAAUUUGGAUCAGUCCAUGGUCAGUUGGUUCUGUGGCAUAAACAUCAUGGUGGAAGGCCUGACUAGAUUUACCCAGUAGGAUUUUACAUCAGCCCCAGAAACUUGUACAUUUGAGCAGAUUUGGAAUCACACUACAUGAAGAAAUGGAUUUUCUUGGUCUAAUUUUGAGACAAUCUGAACUUAGUAAGAGGAAGUGGGUGCUUAAUAAUUUCUUAUUUUUGUCUCAAGGGGGUGUUUUGUGGCAGAGAGUGACCAAUGGCACUGGCCAAACUUACAUUGAGUCCAAGUCUGGAAAUAGGUGGGGGUUUUCUUUCUUUCUUGUUUUUUUUUUUUUUUUCUGUUAAUAGAAAAAUGGAAGUCCUUGUAAGCUACCACUUACCCUCCAGUUGCAUCUUCCUCAUGUUAUGUCCCUCUUAUGGCUUGACAGUGCUCCUCUAAAGGGUCAACCAAGGUGACCUUGAGUUGUCAGUGUUUCAAAACAGCCCAGGGUGGGGACUACGGAUGACAG
Molecule: long non-coding RNA, 3095 nt
Filed under: Fukomys damarensis (Damara mole-rat)
Lineage: Eukaryota; Metazoa; Chordata; Mammalia; Rodentia; Bathyergidae
Description: lncRNA (ENSFDAG00000030523.1)
Source: RNAcentral